This 428-nucleotide ribosomal RNA is filed under the name uncultured bacterium. RNAcentral's name for it is "partial 16S ribosomal RNA". It matches the Rfam family "Bacterial small subunit ribosomal RNA", at positions 354 to 796 of the family's 1533-position model. The record is from RNAcentral.
GUGGGGAAUAUUGCGCAAUGGACGAAAGUCUGACGCAGCGACGCCGCGUGAGUGAUGAAGGCCUUAGGGUCGUAAAGCUCUGUUGAAUGGGAAGAAAAAAAUGACGGUACCAUUCGAGGAAGGACCGGCUAACUUCGUGCCAGCAGCCGCGGUAAUACGAGGGGUCCUAGCGUUGUUCGGAAUCAUUGGGCGUAAAGGGUGUGUAGGUGGCCAUGUAAGUCAGGUGUGAAAGCCCCGGGCUCAACCCGGGAAGUGCACUUGAUACUGCGUGGCUUGAGUACCGAAGAGGGUAGUGGAAUUCCAGGUGUAGUGGUGAAAUACGUAGAUAUCUGGAGGAACACCGGUGGCGAAGGCGGCUACCUGGUCGAGUACUGACACUGAGACACGAAAGCAUGGGGAUCAAACAGGAUUAGAAACCCUGGUAGUCC